RNA transcript from Gopherus evgoodei (Goodes thornscrub tortoise), 2668 nucleotides. RefSeq lists it as uncharacterized. The transcript is spliced from 13 exons. The record is from RefSeq and is a predicted model, not a curated record. NCBI's taxonomy places the organism in Eukaryota, Metazoa, Chordata, Testudines, Testudinidae.
AAGAAUAUUUUAUGAUUUUUUUUUCCUGUUCAAGGUAUGGUGUAAAUAACACUAAGCAUUACUUUACCUGUGGUCACUUUGCAUGCAGCUCCCAUACAAUACAUUUUCUCUCUUGCAAUGUCGUCGUCGUCAUCAUCCUCUUCAUCCUCACCAUCACCACCACCAAGGCGACCUGGUAGACCUACCAUAUAUUCCCCAUUAGAAAAAAAGAGGCGGAGAAAGAGUCUAGAGAGAAAAAGGGCUCAAUCAAGGAUAUGUAUAAGAGAACAAAUAGGAAGAUGGAUGUCACUUAGGGAAACGCUUAAUGUCUUCUCACAUGCUGAAGUUGCCAGGUUUUUGCUGGACUUAUAUGACACUUAUGAAAACCGAGAUGUGUGCAAGGAAUCAGAAGUAAAAAUACAGGAAGCAGAUGGAAACUCAACAUUAAAUGCAGAAAAGGAUGUGCCAGAGACCUCUCUAACAGCAGGCACUGAAAGAUUACUAUGUGAAGAUUUAGAGGAUGGAUCUACAGACAGUUCAGGAGAAGAGCGCACUAUUGAUAAUGAAUUUGACCUUUCUAAAAGUUUUUCUUCAGUUAAACACUUGAAAAAUGUGUCUAUAGCAGAGGAUAUAUUGGGUAUUACAGAUGAAUGUGAUGAUGGGUCACAAGGUGACUUUAUAGAAACCUUUGAGGAGACAACUCAUGAUAUGACUUUGGAUGACACCCAGGAUAUUUCUCAUGAAAAAAUUCACAUUGUUUAUGAACGAUCCCUUCUUCAACUAGCCAAAAAAAUUGUUAUACCAAAAUGUAUGUUUUGUGCUGGUGAAGUUGAUAUUUCUGUACAGCCUGUUUCUUCCUGUGUGCAUUUGAUAUGGAAAUGUAGUGCAGGACAUAUAGCAUUUGAAUGGUCUUCUCAACCUUUGGUGAAAGGACAGACCCAUGCAGGAGACCUUGCUUUAUCUGCUGCAAUCAUACUGUCAGGAAACAAUUUUGGAAAAAUUUCACAAAUGGCAAACUUUAUGAAGCUGACAUUCAUAAGUGCAAGUACAUUCUUCAGAAUGCAACGUCACUUUAUUGUUCCAACUGUAGAAUCCUUCUGGUGUCGAAUGAAGCAACACAUUUUAGAGGAACUACAUGGGAAGGAAGUAGUCAUUAUGGGAGAUGGACGCAUGGAUGGCCCUGGCCACUCUGCACAGUAUUGUGCAUACUCAUUCAUGGAUUUAGAAACUAAACAAAUUUUAGCUAUUGAAAUAGUGGAUAAACGCAAAACGCAACUGAACUCCCCAUUUAUUGAGAAGGAAGCCUUUAGAAGAGGAUUACAAAAGUUGUUGGAUGAACAGCUAAUGGUCAAAGAAGUUGUUACUGAUUCACACACUCAAAUCUCUGCUUUGAUAACAAAGAAAUUUCCCUGUAUAAUCCAUUCAUAUGACAUAUGGGGUGGUGCCAAAAAUCUUGGAAAUAAAUUAAUUGAGGCUGGCAGACAGAAAGAUUGUGGCCGUCUUUUACAAUGGUGUUCAGAUAUUGUCAAUUAUUUCUGGUUUUGCUGCAAGGAAGCAAAUUCAUAUGAAAAAUUUAUUGGAAUGUGGUGUGGCUUAGUUCAUCAUGUGGUCAAUGAACAUCAGUGGGCUAGUGGAAACGGCAUCAUUGAGGGACGGUGCAAACAUGGUCCUCAAAUGGAUGAAAGAGAAAAGGAAUGGCUAGAAAAGGGAAGCAAACCUCACACUGAAAUGUGCAGAAUAAUUUUGGAUAAAAAGUUUCUGAGAAACAUCCCAUACUUUCUACAGUUUAGAUCCACAUUUGAUCUGGAACAGUUUCAGCAGCAUGUGCAUAUGUAUGCUCCUAAAAGAUUUGAAUACACCUAUACAGUGUACAGAGCAAGAUGUUUUUUGGCUGCUAUUGAUUACAAUAUGCAUUUGAACCGGCAAACCAUGCACAAUCAACAGAAUCAGUUAAUAUACCGUAGAAUUUACCAUAGGAAAUCUGGGAGAUGGACCUUGGUACCCAAGAAAGAAAAUAAGCAUUAUGUAUAUACUGAUGACAUAAUGGAGGAGAUAUUUCAGCGCCGUUUGGGGAUGUAGCAAGAGGUCCUGAAGGCGAAACCUCUGAAACCAAAUAUUUCAAGACUGAUUGCAAAAUGAAUUAUACUAAUUAGCCUUCUUUCACAAUUUAAAAAAAAAAACUUCUCCAGUCUUAUAUUUAUUGGAAUUGCCUCUGGUGUUGUUCUACUGGUGGGAAGCUGAGAAAGGAGUAAAGUGGCUUGUCCAAGGUCACAGAGGGACUUGAUGUCAGAACUGGAGCAGUCUGGAAUUUAUACCUUUUCUCUAAAGUGGCAGUUUCUCAAGAUUUAAAUUCUCUGUUUUAAAUACUUCAUUUUAUAGGUCUUUCUAAAAAUCUGAUCUGCCUCUGUACAUAGAUGACAUUAAUUUUAUCAUAAUGUGACUUAUUUAAGUUUUUUAAAUUACUUAUGCAGGGCACUGGGGAGAGAUGCUCAGGUAGCACGUUUCUCUUUUAGAUUUUUCUAUGAGCUCAUGCCGCGCUAAUAUGAGGGUGACCCCUUUCAUAAAUUUUAGUACAUGUACACACAUACUUAACAUAUUUUCUGUAUAUGAAACAUGUUCUUUCCAGAUGGGUUUUGAGUCUGAUUGUGUGGUCAGCCUAGAAAAGGUGUGUUUGUUGGGCUUAACUGGG